Long non-coding RNA from Hippocampus comes (tiger tail seahorse), 269 nucleotides. RefSeq lists it as uncharacterized. NCBI's taxonomy places the organism in Eukaryota, Metazoa, Chordata, Actinopteri, Syngnathiformes, Syngnathidae. The transcript has 3 exons. The record is from RefSeq and is a predicted model, not a curated record.
GUUAGUUUUGACACUUCUAAUACAUGCCAUAUUCAAUUAUAUUGCCUUGCCGGCGACAACGGUGGGCAGAAAUACCCAAAUCAUACAAUUUCUUCCUUUGCAAAGAGUAUACACAGUGGCCACCCCUCCCUACUCCAUCCCAACUAUGCCAUCCAUCCUACACGCACGCGCAUUGUUUUCCCUCAAUUUUUACCUCACACAAACACAAAGAUUUGCAAAGUGUUUCCAAUCCAAUUUGCCAAACAGGAGGGUUAUGACUCAUCAGCCGA